This is a long non-coding RNA of Cygnus olor (mute swan), 690 nucleotides long. RefSeq lists it as uncharacterized. Lineage: Eukaryota; Metazoa; Chordata; Aves; Anseriformes; Anatidae. The transcript is spliced from 3 exons. The record is from RefSeq and is a predicted model, not a curated record.
GCUUUUGCUCUAAUGAGAGCCACACAGUCUGCUCUGUAUUUCUACUGUAAAUGAACAGCCUUUCACUGAGCGCAGCCUGGCUCUGCUGAAGUCGAUGGGGGUUCCUUUGACCUCCACAGCAUUUGAGUGUCAGCCUGUUCCUCAAAUGAGUGUCAGAAAGUUCCCAGUGACAGCAGCUAAAGCCUUGGCAUUUGGCUAAAUGUGUGUGCAAAGCUGGUACUACUGGUGAUGCAGCCAGCUCUACUUACAUGAUGAGGGCAGAUCACAGGGGAAUAGUAUCCGAAAGCUUUUCUCACAAAUCCUUUGGGGAAGACAGGAUGCUGAUGCAGCAGGCCAACAUAUAUACUGUUUUAUCUUCUAUCAGGAAGUGCACACUUUACAACACGUUGCAAUAGAGCAACAGGGUUAUGAAUAUUCCACUACAUGGUGUAUGUUAAAUAACAGCAUCCGGACUUUACUGAGUUUAUUUUAUAACUGAAAGCACUUGGUAAUAUCUUUAAUAAAAAGGCACAAAAAUACUGCUGCAUAAUUCAGUGAGAAUUGCCUUGGUGAGUACUUACAUUAGAUACGAAAUCAUAUUUUUGGGGUUCUUAACAUCAUUCUGUUUUCUUAGGAAAGCAAUGUUGUCUAAGUUUCUUUGACUAAAGCUUGCAGAAACUACAGAGUAUUGCCAGGCAUGUGCUGCCAGGA